Papaver somniferum (opium poppy) is the source of this 691-nucleotide long non-coding RNA. RefSeq lists it as uncharacterized. Lineage: Eukaryota; Viridiplantae; Streptophyta; Magnoliopsida; Ranunculales; Papaveraceae. The transcript has 5 exons. The record is from RefSeq and is a predicted model, not a curated record.
ACGCAAAAACGAAGGAAGAAAAUAAAAAUACAACCAAGAGGAAAUGGAUAAGUCAUCUUUUAAGUAUAUUGGUACAAUAACUCUAAUAACGUGAAGCAACAACUUGAAUCAUGGAUAGUCGGAAAUUUGAAUGGCAAGCGCAAGACCAUUUGGCCGCUACUGCCAUACACCAUCAUGUGCGAGGUAUGGAAGGAGCGUUUAACUUGGCGAGUACCAAACUCUGCAUUUUGUGGUCUGGUGCAAAUAAGGUGUUCGUGAAAACGUUACAGUGAUAUAAUGCAAGUGCAAGUUUUCGUGAAGGAGCAGAUUUGGAAACCAACCUGGAUAGAUGAAUCUGUGCAUCCCAGCCAAAUGGAUGUUAUUUGUGGCACUAUCAAAGGCAGUUACUAGAACUUCAAUCAUCAGUAAUGCUGCUUCACGAGGUGUUAGUGCAGGUUGUAUGAAGUCAUCUUUAUAGCUGCUCGAAUUGCAAGCCACCUUCAGUAAUUGGGUUUUGUUCUCUGCUAUCAUAGUUAAGAGAACAGAAACAACGACCCGGAUGACUCUUUCUUCUUUGGAAGUCGAAAUGAUAUUCAACAACUGAUCAAGAGUUGCAUUCCUCAGCUGCUCAAAUUUCACUUCAGCUUCCUGCAUGGUUAAUUCUUCAGGUCACCCACAUGUGAAAGUGUCUUGCCCUUGAGUGCUUUAGAUU